Molecule: ribosomal RNA, 394 nt
Filed under: uncultured bacterium
Lineage: Bacteria
Description: partial 16S ribosomal RNA
Rfam family: Bacterial small subunit ribosomal RNA
Source: RNAcentral
CCUACGGGUGGCAGCAGUGAGGAAUAUUGGUCAAUGGACGCGAGUCUGAACCAGCCAUGUCGCGUGCAGGAUGACUGCCCUAUGGGUUGUAAACUUCUUUUAUAAAGGGAUAAAGUGAGACACGUGUGCCUUUCUGUAUGUACUUUAUGAAUAAGGAUCGGCUAACUCCGUGCCAGCAGCCGCGGUAAUACGGAGGAGUCAAGCGUUAUCCGGAUUUAUUGGGUGUAAAGGGUGCGUAGGCGGACAGGUAAGUUAGAAGUGAAAACCCAAGGCUCAACCUCGGGAUUGCUUUUGAUACUGUCAAGCUAGAGAACAGGAGAGGUAAGAGGAAUGUAUGGUGUAGCGGUGAAAUGCGUAGAGAUUAGACAGAACACCGAUGGCGAAGGCGUCUUAC